GAUGAAGAACGUAGCGAAAUGCGAUAAGUAAUGUGAAUUGCAGAAUUCAGUGAAUCAUCGAAUCUUUGAACGCACAUUGCGCCCGCCAGUAUUCUGGCGGGCAUGCCUGUUCGAGCGUCAUUUCAACCCUCAGGCCCCCAGUGCCUGGUGUUGGGGAUCGGCCCAGCCUUCCUGUAAGGCCGCCGGCCCCGAAAUCUAGUGGCGGUCUCGCUGUAGUCCUCCUCUGCGUAAUAGCACAACCUCGCAGUUGGAACGCGGCGGUGGCCAUGCCGUUAAACACCCCACUUCUGAAAGUUGACCUCGGAUCAGGUAGGAAUACCCGCUGAACUUAAGCAUAUCAAUAAGCGGAGGA
This 352-nucleotide unclassified non-coding RNA is filed under the name soil metagenome. RNAcentral describes it as "partial contains 5.8S ribosomal RNA, internal transcribed spacer 2, and large subunit ribosomal RNA". The stretch from base 1 to 120 matches the Rfam family "5.8S ribosomal RNA", at positions 35 to 154 of the family's 154-position model. The record is from RNAcentral.